GACGGAGGAUGCAAGCGUUAUCCGGAAUUACUGGGCGUAAAGCGUGCGCAGGCGGUUAUGUAAGACAGGUGUGAAAUCCCCGGGCUUAACCUGGGAACUGCAUUUGUGACUGCAUAGCUAGAGUACGGUAGAGGGGGAUGGAAUUCCGCGUGUAGCAGUGAAAUGCGUAGAUAUGCGGAGGAACACCGAUGGCGAAGGCAAUCCCCUGGACCUGUACUGACGCUCAUGCACGAAAGCGUGGGGAGCAAACAGG
This 253-nucleotide ribosomal RNA is filed under the name uncultured bacterium. RNAcentral describes it as "partial 16S ribosomal RNA". It matches the Rfam family "Bacterial small subunit ribosomal RNA", at positions 524 to 776 of the family's 1533-position model. The record is from RNAcentral.